AACGCUAGCUACAGGCUUAACACAUGCAAGUCGAGGGGUAACAAGAGAAAAGCUUGCUUUUCUUGUUGACGACCGGCGCACGGGUGAGUAACGCGUAUCCAACCUGCCUAUAACUAGGGAAUAACCUUGCGAAAGUAAGACUAAUACCCUAUGAUUUCCUUUGAUGGCAUCAGAUUAGGAAUAAAGAUUUAUCGGUUAUAGAUGGGGAUGCGUCUGAUUAGCUUGUUGGCGGGGUAACGGCCCACCAAGGCAACGAUCAGUAGGGGUUCUGAGAGGAAGGUCCCCCACAUUGGAACUGAGACACGGUCCAAACUCCUACGGGAGGCAGCAGUGAGGAAUAUUGGUCAAUGGGCGGAAGCCUGAACCAGCCAAGUAGCGUGCAGGAUGACGGCCCUAUGGGUUGUAAACUGCUUUUAUACAGGAAUAAAGUUAGCCACGUGUGGUUAUUUGUAGGUACUGUAUGAAUAAGGACCGGCUAAUUCCGUGCCAGCAGCCGCGGUAAUACGGAAGGUUCAGGCGUUAUCCGGAUUUAUUGGGUUUAAAGGGAGCGUAGGCCGUCUGUUAAGCGUGUUGUGAAAUGUAGAUGCUCAACAUCUGAAUUGCAGCGCGAACUGGCAGACUUGAGUGUGCGCAACGUAGGCGGAAUUCGUGGUGUAGCGGUGAAAUGCUUAGAUAUCACGAAGAACUCCGAUUG
Molecule: ribosomal RNA, 694 nt
Filed under: uncultured bacterium
Lineage: Bacteria
Description: bacterial SSU rRNA
Rfam family: Bacterial small subunit ribosomal RNA
Source: RNAcentral